Molecule: ribosomal RNA, 301 nt
Filed under: uncultured bacterium
Lineage: Bacteria
Description: partial 16S ribosomal RNA
Rfam family: Bacterial small subunit ribosomal RNA
Source: RNAcentral
CAGUAGCCACGGUAAUACAGAGGGUGCGAGCGUUAAUCGGAUUUACUGGGCGUAAAGCGUGCGUAGGCGGCUUUUUAAGUCGGAUGUGAAAUCCCUGAGCUUAACUUAGGAAUUGCAUUCGAUACUGGGAAGCUAGAGUAUGGGAGAGGAUGGUAGAAUUCCAGGUGUAGCGGUGAAAUGCGUAGAGAUCUGGAGGAAUACCGAUGGCGAAGGCAGCCAUCUGGCCUAAUACUGACGCUGAGGUACGAAAGCAUAAGGAGCAAACAGGAUUAGAUACCCCAGUAGUCCCUGUCUCUUAUAC